Molecule: ribosomal RNA, 355 nt
Filed under: uncultured Anaerolineaceae bacterium
Lineage: Bacteria; Bacillati; Chloroflexota; Anaerolineae; Anaerolineales; Anaerolineaceae
Description: bacterial SSU rRNA
Rfam family: Bacterial small subunit ribosomal RNA
Source: RNAcentral
GACCCUUCGGGGAGCUUGUACAGGUGCUGCAUGGCUGUCGUCAGCUCGUGUCGUGAGAUGUUCGGUUAAGUCCGCUAACGAGCGCAACCCUCGCUGUGUGUUACAAGUGUCACACGGAACUGCCGGUCAUAAACCGGAGGAAGGUGGGGAUGACGUCAAGUCAGCAUGGCCUUUAUAUCCUGGGCUACACACACGCUACAAUGGGAAGGGACAAUAGGUUGCGAAGCCGCGAGGCGGAGCCAAUCCAGCAAAACUUCCCUCAGUUCAGAUUGCAGGCUGCAACCCGCCUGCAUGAAGUUGGAGUUGCUAGUAAACGCAGGUCAGCCAUACUGCGUUGAAUACGUUCCCGGGGCUU